Molecule: ribosomal RNA, 500 nt
Filed under: uncultured Glomeromycotina
Lineage: Eukaryota; Fungi; Glomeromycota
Description: partial small subunit ribosomal RNA
Rfam family: Eukaryotic small subunit ribosomal RNA
Source: RNAcentral
CCAAUAGCGUAUAUUAAAGUUGUUGCAGUUAAAAAGCUCGUAGUUGAAUUUCGGGGUCAGCAGGUUGGUCGUGCCAAUGGUAUGCACUGGCCUUGCUGAUUCCUCCCUCUUGAUGAGCCGUAAUGUCAUUAAUUUGGUGUUGCGGGGAAUCAGGACUGUUACUUUGAAAAAAUUAGAGUGUUUAAAGCAGGCAAGCGCUUGAAUACAUUAGCAUGGAAUAAUGAAAUAGGACGUUUGAUCCUAUUUUGUUGGUUUCUAGGAUUGACGUAAUGAUUAAUAGGGAUAGUUGGGGGCAUUAGUAUUCAAUUGUCAGAGGUGAAAUUCUUGGAUUUAUUGAAGACUAACUACUGCGAAAGCAUUUGCCAAGGAUGUUUUCAUUAAUCAAGAACGAAAGUUAGGGGAUCGAAGACGAUCAGAUACCGUCGUAGUCUUAACCAUAAACUAUGCCGACUAGGGAUCGGAUGAUGUUAAUUUUUUAAUGACUCAUUCGGCGCCUUACG